This 330-nucleotide ribosomal RNA is filed under the name Triticum aestivum (bread wheat). RNAcentral's name for it is "partial small subunit ribosomal RNA". The record is from RNAcentral. Lineage: Eukaryota; Viridiplantae; Streptophyta; Magnoliopsida; Poales; Poaceae.
AUGUGUGCUAGGCACAUCUAUGCAAAUUGGAGAAAGCAACAUAGGGAGAAGAUAUAUCAGAAAAUAUUUUGGGCAUGUGCAAAAGCUUCUGACAGAACCGGGUUCAACUAUCAUAGAGCAAAGCUUGCUCAAAAAACAGAAGAAGGGGCAAAAGAUGUAAUGAAAACCAAUCCUGAACAUUGGAGCAGGGCUUUUUUCAAACUUGGCUCAUAUUGUGAUUCUGUAGAAAACAAUAUGUGUGAGUCCUUCAACAACUCCAUCAUGAGAGAAAGAUUUUAUCCUGUUAUUACUAGUCAUGAGAUCAUAAGAAAAAAUGUCAUGGCUAGAAUU